Molecule: ribosomal RNA, 299 nt
Filed under: uncultured beta proteobacterium
Lineage: Bacteria; Pseudomonadati; Pseudomonadota; Betaproteobacteria
Description: partial 16S ribosomal RNA
Rfam family: Bacterial small subunit ribosomal RNA
Source: RNAcentral
AGAGUUUGAUCCUGGCUCAGAUUGAACGCUGGCGGCAUGCUUUACACAUGCAAGUCGAACGGGGUUAAGGGGCUUGCUCCUUAAUCUAGUGGCGAACGGGUGAGUAAUGCAUCGGAACGUACCCGGGAGUGGGGGAUAACGCACCGAAAGGUGUGCUAAUACCGCAUAUUCUGUGAGCAGGAAAGCAGGGGACCUUAGGGCCUUGUGCUUCCGGAGCGGCCGAUGUCAGAUUAGCUAGUUGGUGAGGUAAAGGCUCACCAAGGCGACGAUCCGUAGCGGUCUGAGAGGAUGAUCCGCCC